Molecule: ribosomal RNA, 468 nt
Filed under: uncultured bacterium
Lineage: Bacteria
Description: partial 16S ribosomal RNA
Rfam family: Bacterial small subunit ribosomal RNA
Source: RNAcentral
GACGAACGCUGGCGGCGUGCUUAACACAUGCCAGUCGAACGGAAAGGCCCUGCUUUUGUGGGGUGCUCGAGUGGCGAACGGGUGAGUAACACGUGAGUAACCUGCCCUUGACUUUGGGGUAACUUCAGGAAACUGGGGCUAAUACCGGAUAGGAGCUCCUGCUGCAUGGUGGGGGUUGGAAAGUUUCGGCGGUUGGGGAUGGACUCGCGGCUUAUCAGCUUGUUGGUGGGGUAGUGGCUUACCAAGGCUUUGACGGGUAGCCGGCCUGAGAGGGUGACCGGCCACAUUGGGACUGAGAUACGGCCCAGACUCCUACGGGAGGCAGCAGUGGGGAAUAUUGCACAAUGGGCGGAAGCCUGAUGCAGCAACGCCGCGUGCGGGAUGACGGCCUUCGGGUUGUAAACCGCUUUCGCCUGUGACGAAGCGUGAGUGACGGUAAUGGGUAAAGAAGCACCGGCUAACUACGUG